GAGUUUGAUCCUGGCUCAGGAUGAAUGCUGGCGGCGUGCCUAACACAUGCAAGUCGAGCGGCAGCGAGGGGUGCUUGCACCCUGUCGGCGAGCGGCGGACGGCUGAGUAACGCGUGGGAAUCUACCCUAAAGUGAGGGAUAACCGCCCGAAAGGGUGGCUAAUACCGCAUAUGAUCUUCGGAUUAAAGGAUUUAUCCGCUUUAGGAAGAGCCCGCGUUAGAUUAGGUAGUUGGUAGGGUAAUGGCCUACCAAGCCAACGAUCUAUAGCUGGUCUGAGAGGAUGAUCAGCCAGACUGGAACUGAGACACGGUCCAGACUCCUACGGGAGGCAGCAGUGAGGAAUCUUCCACAAUGGGCGAAAGCCUGAUGGAGCAACGCCGCGUGAAGGAUGAAGGCCUUCGGGUUGUAAACUUCUUUUAUGAGUGAAGAAUAUGACGGUAACUCAUGAAUAAGCACCGGCUAACUACGUGCCAGCAGCCGCGGUCAUACGUAGGGUGCAAGCAUUAUCCGGAGUGACUGGGCGUAAAGAGUUGCGUAGGCGGUUUAAUAAGUGAAUAGUGAAACCUGGUGGCUCAACCAUACAGACUAUUAUUCAAACUGUUAAACUCGAGAGUAGUAGAGGUAACUGGAAUUUCUAGUGUAGGAGUGAAAUCCGUAGAUAUUAGAAGGAACACCAAUGGCGUAGGCAGGUUACUGGACUAUUUCUGACGCUAAGGCACGAAAGCGUGGGGAGCGAACUGGAUUAGAUACCCAGGUAGUCCACGCCGUAAACGAUGGAUACUAGCUGUUGGAGGUAUCGACCCCUUCAGUAGCGAAGCUAACGCGUUAAGUAUCCCGCCUGUGGAGUACGGCCGCAAGGCUAAAACAUAAAGGGAAUUGACGGGGGACCCCGCACAAGCGGUGGAUCAUGUUCUUUAAUUCGAUGAUAAACGAAGAACCUUACCAGGGUUUGACAUCCCAAGAAGAUUUACGAAAGUAGAUUGUGCCUUUUGGAACUCGGUGACAGAUGAUGCAUGGCCGUCGUCAGCUCGUGUCGUGAGAUGUUUGGUUAAGUCCAUCAACGAGCGCAACCCUUGUGAAUAGUUGAAAUUUUUCUAUUCAGACUGCCCCGGCAACGGGGAGGAAGGAGGGGAUGAUGUCAGGUCAGUAUUUCUCUUACAAUCCUGGGCUAGAAACGUGAUACGAAUGGCGAAGUACGAAUGCGCAGCGAAAGCCGCGAGGUGAAAGCAAAAUCGCACCAAAAGCUUGUCCCGGUUCGGAUUGGAGGAUGAAACUCGCCUCCAUGAAAGUUCGGAAAUCGCUAGUAAUCGCAGGUCAGCAAAACUGCGGUGAAUACGUUCCCGGGUUCUUGUACACACCGCCCGUCA
Molecule: ribosomal RNA, 1367 nt
Filed under: uncultured bacterium
Lineage: Bacteria
Description: bacterial SSU rRNA
Rfam family: Bacterial small subunit ribosomal RNA
Source: RNAcentral